CCUACGGGACGCAGCAGUGAGGGAUAUUGCACAAUGGGGGGAACCCUGAUGCAGCGACGCCGCGUGAUUGAAGAAGCGUUUAGGCGCGUAAAGCCCUAUCGGCAGGGAAGCAAAUGACGGUACCUGACCGAGAAGCCCCGGCUAACUACGUGCCAGCAGCCGCGGUCAUACGUCGGGGGCAAGCGUUAUCCGGGUUUACUGGGUGUAAAGGGGGCGCAGACGGAAAUGCAAGCCAGGUGUGAAGGCCCGGGGCCCAACCCCGGGACUGCUCUUGAAACUGCAUGGCUUGAGUACAGGAGGGGUAGGCGGAAUUCGUGGUGUAGCGGUGAAAUGCGUAGAUAUCAGGAGGAACACCGGUGGCGAAGGCGGCCUACUGGACUGUGACUGACGCUGAGGCCCGAAGGCGUGGGGAGCAAACAGGAUUAGAUACCCGAGUAGUC
This 440-nucleotide ribosomal RNA is filed under the name uncultured bacterium. Its description in RNAcentral is "partial 16S ribosomal RNA". It matches the Rfam family "Bacterial small subunit ribosomal RNA", at positions 338 to 795 of the family's 1533-position model. The record is from RNAcentral.